RNAcentral lists this long non-coding RNA (289 nucleotides) under Pongo abelii (Sumatran orangutan). RNAcentral describes it as "lincRNA". Lineage: Eukaryota; Metazoa; Chordata; Mammalia; Primates; Hominidae. The record is from RNAcentral.
GGGAAGUUCGAACAGAAGUCUGGGGAAGAGCAGGCGAAGAGCAAAGAGAUGGACUGAGUACUCCCAGCUAGAGCAAGCGGCAGUUAUGGCGCAUGCGCAGCAGCAGGGGUGGCCGCAGUCAAGGGAUUUGUACAGCCCUAUAGGAGACACCUCCAGAGAAAGUAACAACUCUCAGUUGAUUAGCUGAGAAUAAACAGAUGCUUUUACAGCUCGCAUUGGUGGGAAGAUCUGGCACAAAUGAAGUAUCUAUAAGGAGCAGCAGAGUCAAGGUGGUGAUCCUGUGGAAGAA